This 495-nucleotide ribosomal RNA is filed under the name Bacillus amyloliquefaciens. RNAcentral's name for it is "bacterial SSU rRNA". It matches the Rfam family "Bacterial small subunit ribosomal RNA", at positions 397 to 882 of the family's 1533-position model. The record is from RNAcentral. Lineage: Bacteria; Bacillati; Bacillota; Bacilli; Caryophanales; Bacillaceae.
CCGCGUGAGUGAUGAAGGUUUUCGGAUCGUAAAGCUCUGUUGUUAGGGAAGAACAAGUGCCGUUCAAAUAGGGCGGCACCUUGACGGUACCUAACCAGAAAGCCACGGCUAACUACGUGCCAGCAGCCGCGGUAAUACGUAGGUGGCAAGCGUUGUCCGGAAUUAUUGGGCGUAAAGGGCUCGCAGGCGGUUUCUUAAGUCUGAUGUGAAAGCCCCCGGCUCAACCGGGGAGGGUCAUUGGAAACUGGGGAACUUGAGUGCAGAAGAGGAGAGUGGAAUUCCACGUGUAGCGGUGAAAUGCGUAGAGAUGUGGAGGAACACCAGUGGCGAAGGCGACUCUCUGGUCUGUAACUGACGCUGAGGAGCGAAAGCGUGGGGAGCGAACAGGAUUAGAUACCCUGGUAGUCCACGCCGUAAACGAUGAGUGCUAAGUGUUAGGGGGUUUCCGCCCCUUAUUGCUGCAGCUAACGCAUUAAGCACUCCGCCGGGGGGAGA